GACCCCCAGAAUAUGUCUUCUGAAAGCUCCAUUGUCAGGAACUUCACUGGGUUUUGGUACAUCUUUUCAUGUCUUGAACAAAAGGAGAGCUGCUGCAUUUACUUCUGUACCUGCUCCUGUGAAGAGCCUACAAAGCAGCAGAUUUCGCGUCAGCGGUUUUUAAGAACGCCGGGAGCGUGCGCAGCAGCGGGCUCGGGAGCCCUGCGGCGGAGCCGUGCGAAGCGUGGCGAGGGCCCUGCGGCGAGAUCUGCUGAGGAACGCGCGCAGUAACAGGGGGCAUCCUGCUCUGCGGAGAGGCACAAGGGAACCUGCUGAAGCAUCGUCCUCUUUUAACAAAGUUUGCUGUCGUGACAGUUUUUCUGAAGCCUCGAGGCCAAGUGACAGCACAGCCAGACAGGGCUGGGAACUUCUUACACAAAGUCCAACCUGAAAGCCAAAGUCAUCCUGAAAGCCUGGUGUGUUAUGGGAACUACUUCCAAAGAAAUUUGUAAUCUGAUGCAACUUUAACAUUCUUUUUGAUUUCAAAAACAAAAAUGGAGAGAAAAAACAAUGUGCAGAUAAAAUCAAGAGAAAUUGUUGCUCAGAGCCGCACCAAGGACAUGUAGGGAAAAGAGAGAUAAAGGAUGCACAAUGCUUUUACAACAGUGGUGUGCCACGUAAAAUCCUGCCUGGAAGACCAAGUUGUGCUCUGGAUUCCUUCUCCUGAACAGAAGAUAGUGAGUGCCAGCUCAUUGCACAGCUGAGAUUAUACUGGUGGGAACAUUUUGUA
Long non-coding RNA from Rhea pennata, 769 nucleotides. RefSeq lists it as uncharacterized. NCBI's taxonomy places the organism in Eukaryota, Metazoa, Chordata, Aves, Rheiformes, Rheidae. The transcript is spliced from 5 exons. The record is from RefSeq and is a predicted model, not a curated record.